RNAcentral lists this long non-coding RNA (217 nucleotides) under Setaria italica (foxtail millet). RNAcentral's name for it is "long non-coding RNA (SITA_LNC002877)". The record is from RNAcentral. Lineage: Eukaryota; Viridiplantae; Streptophyta; Magnoliopsida; Poales; Poaceae.
GUCCAUCGUCCUUAUAGUUGUAACAGAAGGGAAACAGCCAACUCCUACAACUCGCGAGUGACAGGAGAUCACUCGGCUUUUACCGCUUCCUAGUUAAGCAUGGCAACUACUCGGUCCAACAGCUAGUGUUUGAAACAGGGAACUAAGUCAUGCAUCUAUGGUUCCAAACAACUCCUAUACGUAAAUGCACAAACAAGAUAAAGAAGGCAUGCGCAAG